This 73-nucleotide transfer RNA is filed under the name Planctomycetaceae bacterium. Its description in RNAcentral is "tRNA-Arg". It matches the Rfam family "tRNA". Rfam says of the family: Transfer RNA (tRNA) molecules are approximately 80 nucleotides in length. Their secondary structure includes four short double-helical elements and three loops (D, anti-codon, and T loops). The record is from RNAcentral. Lineage: Bacteria; Pseudomonadati; Planctomycetota; Planctomycetia; Planctomycetales; Planctomycetaceae.
GCCCUCGUAGCUCAGGGGAUAGAGCGGCGGUUUCCUAAACCGCAGGCCGUUGGUUCGAAUCCAAUCGGGGGUG